RNAcentral lists this ribosomal RNA (253 nucleotides) under uncultured bacterium. RNAcentral describes it as "partial 16S ribosomal RNA". It matches the Rfam family "Bacterial small subunit ribosomal RNA", at positions 524 to 776 of the family's 1533-position model. The record is from RNAcentral.
UACGGAGGGUGCAAGCGUUAUCCGGAUUCACUGGGUUUAAAGGGUGCGUAGGUGGGUCUGUAAGUCCGUGGUGAAAUCUCCAAGCUUAACUUGGAAACUGCCAUGGAUACUAUAGGUCUUGAAUACCGUGGAGGUGAGCGGAAUAUGUCAUGUAGCGGUGAAAUGCUUAGAUAUGACAUAGAACACCAAUUGCGAAGGCAGCUCACUACACGAAUAUUGACACAGAGGCACGAAAGCGUGGGGAUCAAACAGG